RNAcentral lists this ribosomal RNA (357 nucleotides) under Triticum aestivum (bread wheat). RNAcentral's name for it is "partial small subunit ribosomal RNA". The record is from RNAcentral. Lineage: Eukaryota; Viridiplantae; Streptophyta; Magnoliopsida; Poales; Poaceae.
ACUAUUGGCGAUGGGCGCAUCUGUCACUUCUGGCUCGACCACUGGCUCGAUGGCCAAUUGAUUGCUGAGCUCGCCCCUGCCCUUGUCACCUCGGUUCCCCGAUGAUGCCGCAACCUCCACCUAGUCUGCGAUGGCCCGAAGAAUCGAGCUUGGAUUAAGGACAUCCGCGGUGCACUGGGUUUGAUUGCCACCAUAGAGUACGUCGACCUGUGGCAGCGACUGCGUCAUGUCACGCUAACCUCUACUCCAGACUGCAUCCACUGGCGUUGGACGAGCUCAGGCAACUACACCGCCUCCUCCUACUAUCGGGCCUUCUUCCAUGGCUCUAUCCCCGACCCGCACUGGCGCCUAACCUAG